Molecule: long non-coding RNA, 1931 nt
Organism: Scylla paramamosain (green mud crab)
Lineage: Eukaryota; Metazoa; Arthropoda; Malacostraca; Decapoda; Portunidae
Exons: 4
Source: RefSeq, a predicted model, not a curated record
GCAGAUAGUAAUUGACGAACACAACACACCACGUGGAGAGAAGCAAGGUGUGGAGUACCCAAGCCUCUCACAGUCCAUGCUAGUAGACUCACCCUGCAUGUGGAGAUCUCCCAAAAUGCACGGAGGUUAUUCCAGAGCUGCAGGACAGAGUACUUGAAGCCAUUGGUGAACAGAAAGCUGAGGUUGAACAAAGCCAAGAAUUGAUAGCUGCCCAAGGUGUAAGCAAGAUUCACAAUGAUGAGGUCAUUGUGACGUGUGCAAUGUGUCCACUGGUCUUGGCCUUCCUGACCAAGGCAGCCACACAAAGGAAAUUCCACGUUAUUGUUGCCGAACGUGCCCCUAAAUAUGAUGGUCACCCAGUGGCAAAAGCUUUAUGUACUGCUGGAAUUGAGACAACAUUAAUUCAAGACUCUGCAGUGUUCCCCAUCAUGUCACGUGUCAACAAGGUCAUCAAAGGUCAUCGUUGGCACCGAGACGGUGGUGACCAACGGAGGCAUUGAGACCUUUGUUGGUGCAGCCUCUCUUGCCUCACCACCAAAGUUUUAUUCUGUUCCACUGUAUGUGUGCACUCCCACAUACAAAUUUAGCUUGAUGGGCUGUGAAGAAAUAAGCCACCAAACCACCACUUCUAUUAUCCCAGAGGGAACAAAGUUUUGGCCGUCUGUAAAUACUGCGCUGACUCAGCUAGAUUACGUUCCUCCAGAAAAUGUCACCAGUUUGAUAACUAACAAGUGAGUUUGUGUUGUUCAUAUGACUGUGUGGUCCUUUCAAGGUGUGAUGUUGGGGGUUCAUUUAAUUUUUUCAUUUGCUUUCCUUGUUGGGCCUGGGCUGACCUCAGGAGACAUCAGUAUUUGUCAGCUUUAUGCACAAACUGUUAUUUAGCACUGUACUUCAUCUCCCAGUAAAACUUCUGAUCCUAAAUGCAUCAAAUGAAAGGCCUUUAUGUUUUACUUAUGAGUGAGAUAAACAACUUACUCAAUUUAUUAUACAGUAAAAUCCCUCUCAUCCGGCAGCUUCAAGUAUCCGGCACAUUUUUCCCCGAGCCUUAAAAUCAAUAAAAAAUCAAUGUGUACUCAGAAAAUCAAUUAAAAUUCCCACGCGAGGCAUACUCCGUCCCCUUGCCACCACAGCGCACUGCUUCACGCCACCCGCAGCCCACUGCACUGUGUUUACUCAGUGACUCAGUCCCGCGUGUGCACUGUUUAUCGCCUGACGCCUUCAUCACGCCUAAAGUUGUAGAAAAAAGGAAGUGUGUUGUGCUUACACUUAAGCAGCUGAUCAGAUCAGCUGAUCAUUGUUGUGGUAAGAUGCGUGAGUGUAGGGUGGUCACUGUGGACAUAAUUUCACUUCUAUUCAAGUAUCCGGCACGUCGGCGGUCCCGUUGAUGCCGGAUAAGAGGGAUUUUACUGUACCCUGUUUAUCUUGCACAUCUACUCACUUAGCUUUAAAUAAUGGCUGCUGACCAUUUAAAUCUCUUUUAUUUCAGUCGAGGUACUGCACCAUCCUACGUGUACCGGCAGCUUAGCGAACUGUACCGUCCCACUUCUUGUGUAACAAGAAGGUAACAGCUUUAAUCCUUGCAAAUAAGGAAUAAGAGAAAAGAGACACACCUGCCAUUUGUACUGUUAUGCUGUAGUGUUCUGUCAUUUUUUUCCUCUUUUAUCCUAGAACCAUUUUUGGUCAUUCAUGUUUCUAAAAAUUAUUAUACAAAAAUGUUGAGCUUAAUAUGUUUGGUGUAGUUUUUUGUAACAUGUGUUAUUGUUAAUGUGUGUGGUUCCCCUCAGGAAGAAUGUUGCAGUAUUAGCAGUAAUGUUACAGCCAAUGGAAGUGUCUGUAUUGUGCUUUGGUGGGAGGUUAAUUUGAUGUAUUUUUAGAGUUGUGCAGGAUAUUAUAGCAAGCCCUCAAAAUAAAGAAAAUAACUAUAGAAAACA